UUGAAGAGUUUGAUCAUGGCUCAGAUUGAACGCUGGCGGCAGGCCUAACACAUGCAAGUCGAGCGGUAGCACAGAGAGCUUGCUCUCGGGUGACGAGCGGCGGACGGGUGAGUAAUGUCUGGGAAACUGCCUGAUGGAGGGGGAUAACUACUGGAAACGGUAGCUAAUACCGCAUAACGUCGCAAGACCAAAGUGGGGGACCUUCGGGCCUCAUGCCAUCAGAUGUGCCCAGAUGGGAUUAGCUAGUAGGUGGGGUAACGGCUCACCUAGGCGACGAUCCCUAGCUGGUCUGAGAGGAUGACCAGCCACACUGGAACUGAGACACGGUCCAGACUCCUACGGGAGGCAGCAGUGGGGAAUAUUGCACAAUGGGCGCAAGCCUGAUGCAGCCAUGCCGCGUGUAUGAAGAAGGCCUUCGGGUUGUAAAGUACUUUCAGCGGGGAGGAAGGCGUUAAGGUUAAUAACCUUGGCGAUUGACGUUACCCGCAGAAGAAGCACCGGCUAACUCCGUGCCAGCAGCCGCGGUAAUACGGAGGGUGCAAGCGUUAAUCGGAAUUACUGGGCGUAAAGCGCACGCAGGCGGUCUGUCAAGUCGGAUGUGAAAUCCCCGGGCUCAACCUGGGAACUGCAUUCGAAACUGGCAGGCUAGAGUCUUGUAGAGGGGGGUAGAAUUCCAGGUGUAGCGGUGAAAUGCGUAGAGAUCUGGAGGAAUACCGGUGGCGAAGGCGGCCCCCUGGACAAAGACUGACGCUCAGGUGCGAAAGCGUGGGGAGCAAACAGGAUUAGAUACCCUGGUAGUCCACGCCGUAAACGAUGUCGAUUUGGAGGUUGUGCCCUUGAGGCGUGGCUUCCGGAGCUAACGCGUUAAAUCGACCGCCUGGGGAGUACGGCCGCAAGGUUAAAACUCAAAUGAAUUGACGGGGGCCCGCACAAGCGGUGGAGCAUGUGGUUUAAUUCGAUGCAACGCGAAGAACCUUACCUGGUCUUGACAUCCACAGAACUUUCCAGAGAUGGAUUGGUGCCUUCGGGAACUGUGAGACAGGUGCUGCAUGGCUGUCGUCAGCUCGUGUUGUGAAAUGUUGGGUUAAGUCCCGCAACGAGCGCAACCCUUAUCCUUUGUUGCCAGCGGUUAGGCCGGGAACUCAAAGGAGACUGCCAGUGAUAAACUGGAGGAAGGUGGGGAUGACGUCAAGUCAUCAUGGCCCUUACGACCAGGGCUACACACGUGCUACAAUGGCAUAUACAAAGAGAAGCGACCUCGCGAGAGCAAGCGGACCUCAUAAAGUAUGUCGUAGUCCGGAUUGGAGUCUGCAACUCGACUCCAUGAAGUCGGAAUCGCUAGUAAUCGUAGAUCAGAAUGCUACGGUGAAUACGUUCCCGGGCCUUGUACACACCGCCCGUCACACCAUGGGAGUGGGUUGCAAAAGAAGUAGGUAGCUUAACCUUCGGGAGGGCGCUUACCACUUUGUGAUUCAUGACUGGGGUGAAGUCGUAACAAGGUAACCGUAGGGGAACCUGCGGUUGGAUCACCUCCUU
RNAcentral lists this ribosomal RNA (1536 nucleotides) under Klebsiella pneumoniae. RNAcentral describes it as "16S ribosomal RNA". It matches the Rfam family "Bacterial small subunit ribosomal RNA". The record is from RNAcentral. Lineage: Bacteria; Pseudomonadati; Pseudomonadota; Gammaproteobacteria; Enterobacterales; Enterobacteriaceae.